CCUUCAUGGCUAGGUUAAGCCUCCUUUGGGGGUCUCUAGUAGGCUUGGUUUCUUUCCCUAGGUGAAUCCUAUGUUGGACAAUUGAAGAGCUAAUUCUUUUAAUGUCGGCCAUGGUCCACCCUAUAGCUUCUCAAUUUUCUCUAAGGACAGCAAACAAUUCUUUUGUUGGGUUGGAUCUAGGUUUGAUGCAAUUAUCACC
This 199-nucleotide long non-coding RNA is filed under the name Elaeis guineensis (African oil palm). RNAcentral's name for it is "long non-coding RNA (EGUI_LNC066571)". Lineage: Eukaryota; Viridiplantae; Streptophyta; Magnoliopsida; Arecales; Arecaceae. The record is from RNAcentral.